This is a long non-coding RNA of Varroa destructor (honeybee mite), 416 nucleotides long. RefSeq lists it as uncharacterized. NCBI's taxonomy places the organism in Eukaryota, Metazoa, Arthropoda, Arachnida, Mesostigmata, Varroidae. The record is from RefSeq and is a predicted model, not a curated record.
AAGUUGAAUAGACCCAGAUAUCAUUACAAGGGCACGUAGCCGCCGCUAUCAGUAGCUUAAGAAUAUGACGGCUCACAGAAACCUAUCCUGCGCACGCAUUAUCUUUACACCAAAAGAACUGAGGUCCGAUCCGAAAACGAGAAUAGAGGAUUCAUUUGUCUCGACGCGAUUAUGACUAAGCUCCUAGCAUACGCCCAUAACAAUGAGACGGGCGGGAGCGAUCUCGGGAAAGUCGAAGGGACCGCUUCCAAUCCCGGCUGAGAGCACGUCAGGUUUUCCCAACCCAAGCCGUAGUAGGGAUCAUCACGGGACUCUAACAGGGAAAUGUUAUCUUUUUGAAGUUCGACUGGACAGUUAAGGGGCGAAAUAUUGGAACGUGAAGUCAAUACUAUAGAACUUACUUCAAUCCAUCUUGC